AUUGAACGCUGGCGGCAUGCCUUACACAUGCAAGUCGGACGAGUGGCGAACGGGUGAGUAACGCCUCGGCACGUGCCGAAUAGUGGGGGAUAACUGUCAGAAAGGAUAGCUAAUACCGCAUACUAUUCGAACUGCCGAUGUCGGGUUAGCUGGUUGGUGGGGUAAAGGCCCACCAAGGCGACGAUCAGUAGCUGGUCUGAGAGGAGGAGCAGCACCGCUUGGACUGAGACACGUCCCAGACUCCUACGGGAGGCAGCAGUGGGGAAUAUUGGACAAUGGGCGCAAGCCUGAUACAGCCAUGCCGCGUGUCUGAAGAAGGCCUUCGGGUUGUAAAGUACUUUUGUCAGGGAGGCGGUACCCGAAGAAUAAGCACCGGCUAACUACGUGCCAGAAGCCGCGGUAAUAC
RNAcentral lists this ribosomal RNA (406 nucleotides) under uncultured bacterium. RNAcentral's name for it is "partial 16S ribosomal RNA". It matches the Rfam family "Bacterial small subunit ribosomal RNA", at positions 30 to 526 of the family's 1533-position model. The record is from RNAcentral.